UACGUAGGAUGCAAGCGUUAUCCGGAAUGACUGGGCGUAAAGGGUGCGUAGGCGGUUUACCAAGUUGGUAGCGUAAUCCCGGGGCUUAACUCCGGAACUACUACCAAAACUGGCAGGCUUGAGUGCGGCAGGGGUAUGUGGAAUUCCUAGUGUAGCGGUGGAAUGCGUAGAUAUUAGGAGGAACACCAGAGGCGAAAGCGACAUACUGGGCCGUAACUGACGCUGAGGCACGAAAGCGUGGGGAGCAAACAGG
Molecule: unclassified non-coding RNA, 253 nt
Filed under: uncultured Eubacteriales bacterium
Lineage: Bacteria; Bacillati; Bacillota; Clostridia; Eubacteriales
Description: contains 16S-23S intergenic spacer region
Rfam family: Bacterial small subunit ribosomal RNA
Source: RNAcentral